GCAGUCGAACGGUGAACACGGAGCUUGCUCUGUGGGAUCAGUGGCGAACGGGUGAGUAACACGUGAGCAACCUGCCCCUGACUCUGGGAUAAGCGCUGGAAACGGCGUCUAAUACUGGAUAUGUGACGUGACCGCAUGGUCUGCGUUUGGAAAGAUUUUUCGGUUGGGGAUGGGCUCGCGGCCUAUCAGCUUGUUGGUGAGGUAAUGGCUCACCAAGGCGUCGACGGGUAGCCGGCCUGAGAGGGUGACCGGCCACACUGGGACUGAGACACGGCCCAGACUCCUACGGGAGGCAGCAGUGGGGAAUAUUGCACAAUGGGCGCAAGCCUGAUGCAGCAACGCCGCGUGAGGGAUGACGGCCUUCGGGUUGUAAACCUCUUUUAGCAGGGAAGAAGCGAAAGUGACGGUACCUGCAGAAAAAGCGCCGGCUAACUACGUGCCAGCAGCCGCGGUAAUACGUAGGGCGCAAGCGUUAUCCGGAAUUAUUGGGCGUAAAGAGCUCGUAGGCGGUUUGUCGCGUCUGCUGUGAAAUCCGGAGGCUCAACCUCCGGCCUGCAGUGGGUACGGGCAGACUAGAGUGCGGUAGGGGAGAUUGGAAUUCCUGGUGUAGCGGUGGAAUGCGCAGAUAUCAGGAGGAACACCGAUGGCGAAGGCAGAUCUCUGGGCCGUAACUGACGCUGAGGAGCGAAAGGGUGGGGAGCAAACAGGCUUAGAUACCCUGGUAGUCCACCCCGUAAACGUUGGGAACUAGUUGUGGAGUCCAUUCCACGGAUUCCGUGACGC
RNAcentral lists this ribosomal RNA (783 nucleotides) under Microbacterium sp. RNAcentral's name for it is "bacterial SSU rRNA". It matches the Rfam family "Bacterial small subunit ribosomal RNA", at positions 57 to 849 of the family's 1533-position model. Lineage: Bacteria; Bacillati; Actinomycetota; Actinomycetes; Micrococcales; Microbacteriaceae. The record is from RNAcentral.